Molecule: long non-coding RNA, 810 nt
Organism: Mauremys mutica (yellowpond turtle)
Lineage: Eukaryota; Metazoa; Chordata; Testudines; Geoemydidae
Exons: 4
Source: RefSeq, a predicted model, not a curated record
UCCGGGGGAGGUUGCGGCAUCCACCUCACUGAAGGUUUUUAAGAAUAGGUCCCUGGUGGUGAUACAAGUCCUGCUAAGAUAAAAGAGAAGACGCUGGGUAGCAUGGCUUAUUAAAAAUGGCAUUUAAGAGAUCUGCUGUUCAAGAUUGAGGGCCUAUGGAGAGGAAAUCACCACAUAAUCCAAACUGCUCUGUGUCUGCCCAUAUUGAGGGGUUUGGCCGAGCCUCAUGGAGCAGCACUCGAGGCACUGCUGAGUUGUAGAGAUCUUCCUGGUUCUUUUCAUCAGACCUCAGGAGACCUCCUGGACUGAGACAUUGGCAGAUGACAGCGUCACACUCCGCUGCAGAUGUAUUUUUACAGAUGGAGGUGGCCACUGAGGGAAAGGCCAUGGGAUCACUCACCAGUUUCCCGGUGCAGAUGGCUCCUGGCUAGAAUGCUUCUUUGCCUGAGCCUGGUGCUACUGUCUGCAGGAGCAAGAAAUGAAGGCACUCCAGAGAGCACGCACACGAGAGAGAGAACGAACGAACACACAGGCUACUAUUCCACUGUAAAAGACCACAGCAAGAGGUGGCCAAUGUGGCUUCAUCAAGGACUAAUCAGAGAUCUGAGGUAUAAUAGCAGCUUUCCUUGGAAGUGAGACAGAAGCAAAAGAUAAUAUAAUCAGUUAAUACUGCAGAGAAAAGAUAAAGGUUGUGAAAAUGCAGGAUUAGAGCAGCCAAAGAGGGUAAAGGUAUGUGUGUGGGGGAAGGGGGGAAUCAGAACAGGUACUACUAACAUGGGGAAAGCCAGAAAGAAAUUAGGUCCAUUACUA